Molecule: ribosomal RNA, 922 nt
Filed under: Microbacterium sp. BE533
Lineage: Bacteria; Bacillati; Actinomycetota; Actinomycetes; Micrococcales; Microbacteriaceae
Description: bacterial SSU rRNA
Rfam family: Bacterial small subunit ribosomal RNA
Source: RNAcentral
UGUAAACCUCUUUUAGCAGGAAGGAAGCGAAAGUGACGGUACCUGCAGAAAAAGCGCCGGCUAACUACGUGCCAGCAGCCGCGGUAAUACGUAGGGCGCAAGCGUUAUCCGGAAUUAUUGGGCGUAAGAAGCUCGUAGGCGGUUUGUCGCGUCUGCUGUGAAAUCCCGAGGCUCAACCUCGGGCCUGCAGUGGGUACGGGCAGACUAGAGUGCGGUAGGGGAGAUUGGAAUUCCUGGUGUAGCGGUGGAAUGCGCAGAUAUCAGGAGGAACACCGAUGGCGAAGGCAGAUCUCUGGGCCGUAACUGACGCUGAGGAGCGAAAGGGUGGGGAGCAAACAGGCUUAGAUACCCUGGUAGUCCACCCCGUAAACGUUGGGAACUAGUUGUGGGGUCCAUUCCACGGAUUCCGUGACGCAGCUAACGCAUUAAGUUCCCCGCCUGGGGAGUACGGCCGCAAGGCUAAAACUCAAAGGAAUUGACGGGGACCCGCACAAGCGGCGGAGCAUGCGGAUUAAUUCGAUGCAACGCGAAGAACCUUACCAAGGCUUGACAUAUACGAGAACGGGCCAGAAAUGGUCAACUCUUUGGACACUCGUAAACAGGUGGUGCAUGGUUGUCGUCAGCUCGUGUCGUGAGAUGUUGGGUUAAGUCCCGCAACGAGCGCAACCCUCGUUCUAUGUUGCCAGCACGUAAUGGUGGGAACUCAUGGGAUACUGCCGGGGUCAACUCGGAGGAAGGUGGGGAUGACGUCAAAUCAUCAUGCCCCUUAUGUCUUGGGCUUCACGCAUGCUACAAUGGCCGGUACAAAGGGCUGCAAUACCGCGAGGUGGAGCGAAUCCCAAAAAGCCGGUCCCAGUUCGGAUUGAGGUCUGCAACUCGACCUCAUGAAGUCGGAGUCGCUAGUAAUCGCAGAUCAGCAACG